Molecule: ribosomal RNA, 439 nt
Filed under: uncultured bacterium
Lineage: Bacteria
Description: partial 16S ribosomal RNA
Rfam family: Bacterial small subunit ribosomal RNA
Source: RNAcentral
CGGGGGGCACCAGCAGUGGGGAAUCUUAGACAAUGGGCGCAAGCCUGAUCUAGCCAUGCCGCGUGAGUGACGAAGGCCUUAGGGUCGUAAAGCUCUUUCGCUGGGGAAGAUAAUGACGGUACCCAGUAAAGAAACCCCGGCUAACUCCGUGCCAGCAGCCGCGGUAAUACGGAGGGGGUUAGCGUUGUUCGGAAUUACUGGGCGUAAAGCGCGCGUAGGCGGAUCAGAAAGUUGGGGGUGAAAUCCCGGGGCUCAACCCCGGAACUGCCUUCAAAACUCCUGGUCUUGAGUUCGAGAGAGGUGAGUGGAAUUCCGAGUGUAGAGGUGAAAUUCGUAGAUAUUCGGAGGAACACCAGUGGCGAAGGCGGCUCACUGGCUCGAUACUGACGCUGAGGUGCGAAAGCGUGGGGAGCAAACAGGAUUAGAUACCCUCGUAGUC